CCCUUAGAUGUUCUGGGCCGCACGCGCGCUACACUGACGAUGGCAACGAGUUUUUCCUUCGCCGAAAGGUGUGGGUAAUCUUUUGAAACAUCGUCGUGCUGGGGAUAGAUCAUUGCAAUUUUUGAUCUUGAACGAGGAAUUCCUAGUAAGCGCGAGUCAUCAGCUCGCGUUGAUUACGUCCCUGCCCUUUGUACACACCGCCCGUCGCUACUACCGAUUGAGUGAUCCGGUGAAUGAUUCGGACCAGCGUGCUGCUCAGAUCCUGCGCAGUGUGCUGGGAAGUCUAGUGAACCUUAUCACUUAGAGGAAGGAGAAGUCGUAACA
This 324-nucleotide ribosomal RNA is filed under the name uncultured eukaryote. RNAcentral's name for it is "partial 18S ribosomal RNA". It matches the Rfam family "Eukaryotic small subunit ribosomal RNA", at positions 1470 to 1796 of the family's 1831-position model. The record is from RNAcentral.